UACAGAGGUCUCAAGCGUUGUUCGGAUUCAUUGGGCGUAAAGGGUGCGUAGGUGGCGCCGUAAGUCGGGUGUGAAAUUUCGGAGCUUAACUCCGAAACUGCAUUCGAUACUGCGGUGCUUGAGGACUGGAGAGGAGACUGGAAUUCAUGGUGUAGCAGUGAAAUGCGUAGAGAUCAUGAGGAAGACCAGUGGCGAAAGGCGGGUCUCUGGACAGUUCCUGACACUGAGGCACGAAGGCCAGGGGAGCAAACGGG
Molecule: ribosomal RNA, 254 nt
Filed under: uncultured bacterium
Lineage: Bacteria
Description: partial 16S ribosomal RNA
Rfam family: Bacterial small subunit ribosomal RNA
Source: RNAcentral